AGUGAACGCUGGCGGUAGGCCUAACACAUGCAAGUCGAACGGCAGCACAGUAAGAGCUUGCUCUUACGGGUGGCGAGUGGCGGACGGGUGAGGAAUACAUCGGAAUCUACUUUUUCGUGGGGGAUAACGUAGGGAAACUUACGCUAAUACCGCAUACGACCUACGGGUGAAAGCAGGGGAUCUUCGGACCUUGCGCGAUUGGAUGAGCCGAUGUCGGAUUAGCUAGUUGGCGGGGUAAAGGCCCACCAAGGCGACGAUCCGUAGCUGGUCUGAGAGGAUGAUCAGCCACACUGGAACUGAGACACGGUCCAGACUCCUACGGGAGGCGGCAGUGGGGAAUAUUGGACAAUGGGCGCAAGCCUGAUCCAGCCAUACCGCGUGGGUGAAGAAGGCCUUCGGGUUGUAAAGCCCUUUUGUUGGGAAAGAAAAGCAGCAGGUUAAUACCCCGCUGUUCUGACGGUACCCAAAGAAUAAGCACCGGCUAACUUCGUG
This 492-nucleotide ribosomal RNA is filed under the name uncultured bacterium. Its description in RNAcentral is "partial 16S ribosomal RNA". It matches the Rfam family "Bacterial small subunit ribosomal RNA", at positions 29 to 507 of the family's 1533-position model. The record is from RNAcentral.